RNAcentral lists this ribosomal RNA (463 nucleotides) under uncultured bacterium. RNAcentral's name for it is "partial 16S ribosomal RNA". It matches the Rfam family "Bacterial small subunit ribosomal RNA", at positions 28 to 507 of the family's 1533-position model. The record is from RNAcentral.
GACGAACGCUGGCGGCGUGCUUAACACAUGCAAGUCGAACGGAAAGGCCUUUUCGGAGGUACUCGAGUGGCGAACGGGUGAGUAACACGUGGGUGAUCUGCCCUGCACUCUGGGAUAAGCCUGGGAAACUGGGUCUAAUACCGGAUAGGACCGCACUUUAGUGUGUGUGGUGGAAAGUUUUUUCGGUGUAGGAUGAGCCCGCGGCCUAUCAGCUUGUUGGUGGGGUAAUGGUCUACCAAGGCGGCGACGGGUAGCCGGACUGAGAGGUUGGUCGGCCACAUUGGGACUGAGAUACGGCCCAGACUCCUACGGGAGGCAGCAGUGGGGAAUAUUGCACAAUGGGCGCAAGCCUGAUGCAGCGACGCCGCGUGGGGGAUGACGGCCUUCGGGUUGUAAACUCCUUUCGCCAGGGACGAAGCGUUUUGUGACGGUACCUGGAGAAGAAGCACCGGCUAACUACGUG